CUUUCGGGGAUAGUGGCGGACGGGUGAGUAACGCGUGAGAAUCUGCCUUUAGGACGGGGACAACAGUUGGAAACGGCUGCUAAAACCCGAUGUGCCCUUCGGGGUGAAAUAUUUAUAGCCUGAAGAUGAGCUCGCGUCUGAUUAGCUAGUAGGUGAGGUAAAGGCUCACCUAGGCGACGAUCAGUAACUGGUCUGAGAGGAUGACCAGUCACACUGGGACUGAGACACGGCCCAGACUCCUACGGGAGGCAGCAG
This 255-nucleotide ribosomal RNA is filed under the name uncultured Phormidium sp. RNAcentral describes it as "partial 16S ribosomal RNA". It matches the Rfam family "Bacterial small subunit ribosomal RNA", at positions 83 to 354 of the family's 1533-position model. The record is from RNAcentral. Lineage: Bacteria; Bacillati; Cyanobacteriota; Cyanophyceae; Oscillatoriales; Oscillatoriaceae.